GGGAAUGACCAGCCACACUGGAACUGAGACACGGUCCAGACUCCUACGGGAGGCAGCAGUGGGGAAGUAUUUGCACAAUGGGGGGAAACCCGUGGAUGCAGCCAUGCCGCGUGAAUGAGAAGGCUUCGGUUGUAAGUUNUUUCGUGACAGGAAGGUUGAUAGGUUAAUAGCCUAUCAAAUUGACGUUAAUCACAGAAGAAGCACCGGCUAACUCCGUGCCAGCAGCCGCGGUAAUACGGGGGGUGCGAGCGUUAAUCGGAAUAACUGGGCGUAAAGGGCACGCAGGCGGUGACUUAAGUGAGAUGUGAAAGCCCCGAGCUUAACUUGGGGAAUUGCAUUUCAUACUGGGUCGCUAGAGUACUUAGGAGGUGAUCAUGUGCGUNAUNNNAGNUNCGUAGUACCCUACGUAGGUGACGUCGCUCCCACGACGCGGCCGCGUCGACCGCGGUAAGACGGAGGAUGCAAGCGUUAUCCGAUGCUGAUUCCUCUGGUACCGUCAGGUUGCUUUCACAACUUUCUUCCCAGAGAAAAGGG
RNAcentral lists this ribosomal RNA (534 nucleotides) under uncultured Haemophilus sp. RNAcentral's name for it is "bacterial SSU rRNA". It matches the Rfam family "Bacterial small subunit ribosomal RNA", at positions 296 to 723 of the family's 1533-position model. Lineage: Bacteria; Pseudomonadati; Pseudomonadota; Gammaproteobacteria; Pasteurellales; Pasteurellaceae. The record is from RNAcentral.